AGUGAACGCUGGCGGUAGGCCUAACACAUGCAAGUCGAACGGCAGCACAGUAAGAGCUUGCUCUUACGGGUGGCGAGUGGCGGACGGGUGAGGAAUACAUCGGAAUCUACUUUUUCGUGGGGGAUAACGUAGGGAAACUUACGCUAAUACCGCAUACGACCUACGGGUGAAAGCAUGGGAUCUUUGGACCUUGCGCGAUUCAAUGAGCCGAUGUCGGAUUAGCUAGUUGGCGGGGUAAAGGCCCACCAAGGCGACGAUCCGUAGCUGGUCUGAGAGGAUGAUCAGCCACACUGGAACUGAGACACGGUCCAGACUCCUACGGGAGGCAGCAGUGGGGAAUAUUGGACAAUGGGCGCAAGCCUGAUCCAGCCAUACCGCGUGGGUGAAGAAGGCCUUCGGGUUGUAAAGCCCUUUUGUUGGGAAAGAAAAGCAGCAGGUUAAUACCCCGCUGUUCUGACGGUACCCAAAGAAUAAGCACCGGCUAACUUCGUG
Molecule: ribosomal RNA, 492 nt
Filed under: uncultured bacterium
Lineage: Bacteria
Description: partial 16S ribosomal RNA
Rfam family: Bacterial small subunit ribosomal RNA
Source: RNAcentral